AUUGAACGCUGGCGGCAGGCCUAACACAUGCAAGUCGAGCGGAGCGGCGGACGGGUGCGUAAUGACUAGGAAUCUGCCUGGUCGUGGGGGAUAACGUCCGGAAACGGGCGCUAAUACCGCAUCCUAUCAGAUGAGCCUAGGUCGGAUUAGCUAGUGGGUGGGGUAAAGGCCUACCAAGGCGACGAUCCGUACCGGGUCUGAGAGGAUGAUCAGUCACACGGGAACGGAGACACGGUCCAGACUCCUCCGGGAGGAAGCAGUGGGGAAUAUUGGACAAUGGGCGAAAGCCUGAUGCAGAAAGGCCGCGUGGGUGAAGAAGGCUUUCGGAUUGUAAAGCACUUUAAGCGGGGAGGCGUUACCAGCAGAAUAAGCACCGGCUAACUACGUGCCAGCAGCCGCGGUAAUAC
RNAcentral lists this ribosomal RNA (407 nucleotides) under uncultured bacterium. Its description in RNAcentral is "partial 16S ribosomal RNA". It matches the Rfam family "Bacterial small subunit ribosomal RNA", at positions 29 to 526 of the family's 1533-position model. The record is from RNAcentral.